Molecule: RNA transcript, 1564 nt
Organism: Girardinichthys multiradiatus
Lineage: Eukaryota; Metazoa; Chordata; Actinopteri; Cyprinodontiformes; Goodeidae
Gene name: caltractin-like
Exons: 7
Source: RefSeq, a predicted model, not a curated record
AACUUGAAUAGAUCGCCGAUUUCAGUUUGUGAUUAACAACCAUCAACAACAACCAUAAGCGAGCUUUUGUCAAUUUAAACAGAAGCUUUUUUCGUCUUGUUUCAUCAUGUUGCGCAGGAAUCUCUUGGAGGCCAUCCGCAUGGCGUGCAAUGAUCAGAAGGAAGCUCCCAAAUAUAACCAAAGGAAAAAGAAGAAUUACAAAAUUGAAUUGACCGACGCACAGAUUUGGGAACUCAGGCGGGAUUUUGAAGCGUUUGAAUCAGCAAGAACAGGGCCCAUAGAAGUUAAAGAACUUCAGCUGGCCAUUAAACAUCUAGGUCUGGAACCAACGGAAGAACUCAUAAGGAUGUUGGCAAACCAAGAUCCCUCAGGAGUUAUUUAUUUUAACGACUUUCUACAUGUUGCAGCCCAGGAAAUGAAGAAGGAGAACCCCACAGAGGAACUGAGGAAAGUUUUUCAGAUGUUCGAUAAUGACAGUACAGGAAAAAUUUCCCUGCAAAAUCUACAAAGAGUUGCAAAGGAGCUUGGCCAAAACAUCACUAAUGAGGAGUUGAAGAUAAAGGAGUAGAGCUGCAAGACAGAAGAUUUUUCAGCAAAAGAUCAACCCAGUUUAAAAAUUUUUGCAUCCUUCUGACAUAAUGAUCUGAUGGAAUCAUACUUUAACAUUUGGGCCAAAAUUCAUAAAGAAGAAUCAAAACAACACCAUACCCAUAGUAAAACAGGGUACUGGCAGCAUCGGUCUCUUGGUUCACUUUUCUUUAAAUAAAAUAUUAUUUUCCUGAGCAAAUCGGUCAUCCAGCUUGACACAUGCAAGUGAACCAGAUUCCAGAACUAAAUCUGACAGAAUCUACAGGGUCACCUGAAGAAGGCUGCGGUCAAGACUCAAUUUGACAGAUUUAGUGAACUUUGGCAAGACGGAGUCAACAAAUAGAGUAGGUCAAGAUGUGGGAUUCUAAUCGACUUUUCCUAAAGAAUACGAAAUGCUGAAAUUGAAUCGAUGUCAGGAUCUGGGUUUGUGUUUUUGUGCUUGCUACAUGUGCUCAUUCUCAGGUGGUGCUGGAGCUCUCAGGUAUGCUGGGUGACAGGUGCGACUUAUUCCACUAAUUGCCAGGAGGAGUACUUAAGCAGGAGUCUGCCAGCACUUCAAUGCGAGAAUGUUUUGCCACCAGUGAUUUUUAGAACCUAAGCUUUGGAUCUAUGUCACUGAGUUUCUGGACUUUGUUUCUGGAGGUUAUUCUGGAUGAUCAAGCCUAUCUUUGUUCUGAGGAUUCCUAUCCUGUCAUCUGCCUUUGUUUGGAUUCGUAUCAAGCUGGCAGCUUCCUGUCCUCUCCGUCUCCUGAGCCAAUCCACAAGUGUACCCUGUCCACCCUCCAACGUAAACCACCGCACAUUGAACUUGUUUCUUUGUUCCGAGCUCACACAGAACAGCACCAAGUGAACUCUCUACGGAUAUCCCUGCUGAAGACCUGGAUCCUGAGUCUCAUUCCCCCUGGCGACCUGACCACCAUAACCCAUGAGAUUUAUGUCCGUUUCGUUCCUGAUUACAUCACCAAUAAAACCGUCU